AUUGAACGCUGGCGGCAUGCUUUACACAUGCGAGUCGAACGGUAACAGGCCGCAAGGUGCUGACGAGUGGCGAACGGGUGAGUAAUGCAUCGGAACGUGCCCAGUCGUGGGGGAUAACUACUCGAAAGAGUAGCUAAUACCGCAUACGAUCUAUGGAUGAAAGCGGGGGACCGUAAGGCCUCGCGCGAUUGGGGCGGCCGAUGUCAGAUUAGGUAGUUGGUGGGGUAAAGGCUCACCAAGCCAACGAUCUGUAGCUGGUCUGAGAGGACGACCAGCCACGCUGGGACUGAGACACGGCCCAGACUCCUACGGGAGGCAGCAGUGGGGAAUUUUGGACAAUGGGCGCAAGCCUGAUCCAGCAAUGCCGCGUGCAGGAAGAAGGCCUUCGGGUUGUAAACUGCUUUUGUACGGAACGAAACGGCUCUGGUUAAUACCCGGGGCUAAUGACGGUACCGUAAGAAUAAGCACCGGCUAACUACGUG
Molecule: ribosomal RNA, 482 nt
Filed under: uncultured bacterium
Lineage: Bacteria
Description: partial 16S ribosomal RNA
Rfam family: Bacterial small subunit ribosomal RNA
Source: RNAcentral